RNAcentral lists this ribosomal RNA (503 nucleotides) under uncultured bacterium. RNAcentral describes it as "partial 16S ribosomal RNA". It matches the Rfam family "Bacterial small subunit ribosomal RNA", at positions 30 to 523 of the family's 1533-position model. The record is from RNAcentral.
AUUGAACGCUGGCGACAGGCUCAACACAUGCAAGUCGAGCGGGGUGAUGGUGCUUGCACUAUCACUUAGCGGCGGACGGGUGAGUAAUGCUUAGGAAUCUGCCUAUUAGUGGGGGACAACAUCUCGAAAGGGAUGCUAAUACCGCAUACGUCCUACGGGAGAAAGCAGGGGAUCACUUGUGACCUUGCGCUAAUAGAUGAGCCUAAGUCGGAUUAGCUAGUUGGUGGGGUAAAGGCCUACCAAGGCGACGAUCUGUAGCGGGUCUGUGAGGAUGAUCCGCCACACUGGGACUGGGACACGGCCCAGACUCCUACGGGAGGCAGCAGUGGGGAAUAUUGGACAAUGGGGGGAACCCUGAUCCAGCCAUGCCGCGUGUGUGAAGAAGGCCUUAUGGUUGUAAAGCACUUUAAGCGGGGAGGAGGCUCUUUUGGUUAAUACCCAAGAUGAGUGGACGUUACUCGCAGAAUAAGCACCGGCUAACUCUGUGCCAGCCGCCGCCGUAA